UUACUUCGAACAACAUUCAAAUCUUUUUCAGGAACUUCAUCGGCAAUGGCAUCAAGCAACAUAGGGAAAGGCAUCCAAGGGGACUUGGGAGUCCUCAGAGAAUUUGAAACCUGGUUGCCAGCUUUUUCUGGAGGCCUUCCAUUCAAAACCUGAUUGCAUUCACUUGCCUAAGAUAAAAACAGUUAAAAAAAGUUGCAGCAAUGCAAGCAAAUAAGCAAAUAGCAAAAGAAACAUAAAAACAGGUAUGUUAUCAAAAAAUGGAAAUGAUUUUAGCUAGCCAAAUGGUUAUAUAAGUCCCCCACACAAUAGUCAACUUCCUAGCAGCACAAAAGUUAUUUACAGGAGGAAAUUGCAAAUUGCAACCUAGCUCAACAAAGCUCGAGCCAGUAGAGUACAAAGGUUCACUCUGAAGGCUCAUUAAGGAGUCAGUUGACAGAAGCUAGACUAAUACCCUAUUCAAAAAUGAUAAAGAUAAAUAUUGGUAGCUUCCAGAAAUUUGAAAGCUUUAGUUUACUUUAUAAAUAACACGAAUCAAAUUCAGGCACCACAAAGACCCAGGAUAAAGAAUCAAGUGAGCAAGAGGACUAUGCGCAUUUUUGCAGCCUCAAGAGGAAAGCCAUUAGCUUGCUAUCAGUUAAUUCAACUUGUCCUAAAAGCUGCAUACCAAAUAGAGGACAUCCCCGAUCAGAAGAACCUUGUGAACCAAGCCACAUUUCAGAUCACUCCUCAAGCAUGAAGUGCUCUGUACUGAAAAUCAUCAUAUGAAGGAUCCACAAGGUAGGAUUUUCUUGCCAUCAAGUACAACAUUUUCAUGGAAUAUCCCACGUUUAACCAAUGGGAACACUCCAGUCAAAAGCAUAGAUAUCACUUGUUUGCUAUAUCUGUGAAGUCAAGAUAUGUAACCAACUUCAAAUUCAAAAAAGCUCACCUCAAUGAUCCAUUCACAAGCUCAAUGCGCUUUAUAAUUAUCAGCUUUGGCCACACUAUUUCAUACUUUAACUUGCCAAAUUAAGUUCACCAACUGCUUCAUGCACACCAAAUGAUCAAGAAACUAUCCAACAAUCCAACAUUAACUUGUAGAAAACAUGGGCGGGAAAAAAUAAGUCAUCGGAUCCUCAAAGAUAAACAUAUGUGCCCAUCAGAUUGAUCUUACUCUUUCUUAUAAGUCAUUAACCACAAGUGAAUUGCAACAAAAGAAGAUAAAUCAUCAUCAAACCGCACAAAGUAAGUACUCCAAAUCAUCUCCACUCCCAUUAAGCACUGAAAGCCCAAUAAUAAACCAGGAACUGCUUUUGAUAAUAAUAAUCACGUUACAUGUUUCCAUUACUUAGAAACAAGGGGCCCCAGGGAUUAGAAGAAAGACAAUUACAAUCACUAGUACUCGCAUCACAACCGCAAUUUAUCCCAUCCAGCAAAACAAAACAUGGAUUGUCUAUUUUCUCAUGUCUCAAACAAGUGUUUACUCCAAAUUGGGAAGUUGAGCACAAUACACAGAACAAAAGCACUGCCACAACUACACAUUACAGUACCCAACCUUCACAAUGCCUGUUAUUGGUGCCAACAUCAAACUGCCAGUUAGCAAAUGUUUACCACAUGAUACACAGGCACAAACUUACAUCAUAUGUCAGGCCCAUAAGACUUCACUUCAUCCUUGCACGUGUCCUAGCAUUUCAAGUGGGCAAAAAGCACACAUGAAGAAACUUGGUCCUGCUGUACAUUCAAGACCAUUCCAUAUUGCCCCCAGAGAGAAACAAACUUGACAUGAAAUGUCUACGACAAACAAUUUUCCCCUUGCUAAAACAACUUCAGCCCAACAUGGACAGAAGUUCAACAAUUGAGAAACUGAUCAAUUUUAUUCACCUUACGCCCACUUUAUUUAAACAAACUCUCAUCUUCGCUCUAGUAGAAAAUAAGUGGUGAAAGGUAAUGCCCUAUAACUGUUACAGUCACUUCAGUACAAAACCUAGAAGCGCCAGGCAAUAAACUAGUAGUUUUCGUCCAAAAGUGGAGAGCAGGCUUCAAAUACCUGAAGUACUUGAAACAGCCAAGGAAAGAAAAAUGAACCCAAAAAAAAAAGAUUUAUAUACCUGAAGUACUUACCAGAUCAGUUGUAGACGAGUCCAUGUUUACCUGCCCUUCAGGUACUUGAUGACAAAUGCUAGUCCCUUUUAAAUCAAUCUUUCCCUCAGUUUUAGCCAAAACUCCUGUAACACAAAAACAAAAGUAACCACUACUACUAGUUAAUGCUUGGAUAAGGUAACUAGCACCUUGCACACAGUUCAAGAUAGGAAUUUUUAGUUUGACCGUUCAUGCUUCAGCUGCAAGUUUUAGAAUCAGCGACUACAAAAAACUGAUUUAACUUCAUAUUCCUUCACAUUUGAGCAAUAUCACUAAUACAAAUGUAUUAUAUACAAUCCAACCAUCUGAAUAAAUCAAGCCUAAGCCUAAGCCUAAUGAAAAAACUUUCAACUAAGGAUGCAACAUGCAUGUUUGAGACUAUAUUAAUUACAAAACUAUUAAGGGGUAAAUCAUCACCUUCAGCAUCAGAAGAAAUCUUGAAACUGAUAGCAUAUUCUGGGUAGAUAUGAGAAUUUGCAUUCAUGUUCCAUACUACAUAAUGGCUUGGGUUUUGAAAAUCAUCCAUUCCACUAUCAAAGUCCUCGCUACUGGGAUGGAACUGUUCUGAUCCAGGAUGAACAAGCUCUGUGUUUCCCAUUAUUACACGACAAAAUACCAUAUGUCGUACACCAUUUUCGUCAACAUCAGAAUAAUUUGCACUGUGAAAAAAAAAAGAAGGCUGAAACCUCACUGAAAAUGCAUCAAGGAUGAAAGUAUGAUUAUGAUUUACGGAAGAAACCAGAAGUUGAUAUAGCAAAUGUGAAGCCAUGCAGAAACGAGCUGCUAGGUUCUUUACCCAUUACUGCAAAAGCUAGCUAUGCCUAAAAUACAUGUUGCACAGACCGAAUACAACGAUGCAAUUAUUCCUAUUUCAAAAUCAAGAUGAAAAGAUGUCGACUGAGGACGAAGUUUUCAAAAUUAUAAUGACAAAAAAACUUUCAGCAAAUAUCAGCAAUCCUCAUAUUAACAUGAAAAGAGCCAGUUGAGUAAAGCUAGGCAGCAAAGGAGUAUAUGAGAGGCCGUAAGCCCACCAAAGCAUCAAAUUCUACUGAGAAAUGAACUAAACAAUAUUCCAUGAAUGAAAUGAAUGGCUACAAACAUAGCAUGAAAAAAUGCUUAAAUCAAUACUUCACCUGAAUUCAAAAAGAUGCAUUUGACUUAUCUACAGUAUGCUUGGUCCAAAAAGUGAAGCCAAGGGGAACAGCGUACAACCAUAGUCCAUAAAAAGCAAGAAAGUGAGCAAUGUUUACCUUGGUAUAAUUUGAGUGGAAUGAGUUGCUAAAUGAAAACAUUUUCCAGCAAACCUACAAGUUCUAACCAACUUUGUUGUAAAAAAAAAAUGCAAUGAAAACAGAAAUUUCUUCUACAUAAAGAUUCUUGACCUAAUCUCUGUCACACUUCUCUUCAAAAGGCGCACAUUUAAUUCCCCCCCUCCUAACACUACUACUUACCUGAACUAGAUAUAAUAAUAAAUGAAAUAGAUGAAAAUAAAAUACGUCAAUCAACAUAAUCAGCAAUAAUGUCAUUUUUACAUCAGAGAUACAAUACCAGAAGUUCAUUAAAAAUCAUUCAGAAGCAGUAUAGGACAAUUCCAAACAAAGAAACCAUUCUCCAAAUCUUGUCACCUUAGCCCCACAACUUCCUUGUCAGUCCAAUAUUGGGGAGUUAAAAGGAAGCAAUGAAAAGUAAAAAACCAACCCCCAUAAUCAACCAUGAUCACAAUAUUGGCAAUGUUCAGUGAUCACUAACACGAACAGUGAAAGAAAAUUCAAACCUGAGCUCAGUGCAGUUUGCAGGGAUAAGGUGAACUCCAAUGCCAUACACAGGCCUAAGUUUUGUUGGCAGCGAAAAGCCAAGGCCAUACUUCAUAAUACUAGCAGCUGUUUCUUUAGAAGAUGGGAGCCAAGCAUAUCUCACAUUUGCGUCCCCGCGACAGCUUUUAGUGAUGGCAACCUGUUUCUUGAAAAGCUCAAAUCGAGAUUCCAUAAAGACGCCUGAGCCACAAUGGAUCUCAAUUAUAUUUGCAUUAUCCUGAAAACAUAUGCCAUUGAAGAAAAAAUCUCUCACAGUAUCAGAAUCUACUUUCUCCAUCUGUUGGUUGUCAACAAGGGUCACAUCAACUUUCUCAUUUGCUUCUCUGACGCUACUGUCUUCAGCUUCUCCAUCAUAACCUUCUCCUCCAAGUUUGUGAUGAACAUGAAUUUCUUUAAGAAGAGCAUUUGAUUCUCCACUGGACUCCCUCAAAUUUGAAAUAUCUGAACCAUUUAUCGCAAUCUCAAGUUGCAACUUGAUGUCACCAGACACCUGAGGUUCUGAGACUAGAUGGUCCUGACUUCUCUUAUUAUAGGAGCAGGCAUGGAAUUCGCCACCAUCAACAAAAGUCUCAGGGAAAAAGCACUUCCCAGCUUCAUCAAUCCAUGCAAUGGGCUGCAGCAGACCAGUCUUUAAAUCCAGUUGGAACAUAUGCAAGAAGUCUAGUGCAAUGCGUUUCUUAUUAAACUGCAACUCAGUCAUUGCCUUCUUUUGUUGAAGAUCUUUCUUAACCAACAUAAGAAUGUCUUUGGGGAAAUCAACCCAU
This 4696-nucleotide long non-coding RNA is filed under the name Coffea arabica (coffee). Its description in RNAcentral is "long non-coding RNA (CARA_LNC005853)". Lineage: Eukaryota; Viridiplantae; Streptophyta; Magnoliopsida; Gentianales; Rubiaceae. The record is from RNAcentral.